UACGUAGGUGGCAAGCGUUGUCCGGAAUUAUUGGGCGUAAAGGGCGUGCAGGCGGUCUCAUAAGUCUGAUGUGAAAUCUCGCGGCUUAACCGCGAGCGGUCAUUGGAAACUGUGGGACUUGAGUCCAGAAGAGGAGAGUGGAAUUCCACGUGUAGCGGUGAAAUGCGUAGAGAUGUGGAGGAACACCAGUGGCGAAGGCGGCUCUCUGGUCUGGAACUGACGCUGAGGCGCGAAAGCGUGGGUAGCGAACAGG
RNAcentral lists this ribosomal RNA (253 nucleotides) under uncultured bacterium. Its description in RNAcentral is "partial 16S ribosomal RNA". It matches the Rfam family "Bacterial small subunit ribosomal RNA", at positions 524 to 776 of the family's 1533-position model. The record is from RNAcentral.